AGUCGGAAUUGCUAGUAAUCGUAGGUCAGCAUACUACGGUGAAUACGUUCCCGGGCCUUGUACACACCGCCCGUCAAACCAUGAGAGUUGGCAACACCCGAAGUCGGUAGUCUAACCGCAAGGAGGACGCCGCCGAAGGUGGGGGUUGAUGAUUAGGGUUAAGUCGUAACAAGGUAAC
Molecule: ribosomal RNA, 178 nt
Filed under: uncultured bacterium
Lineage: Bacteria
Description: partial 16S ribosomal RNA
Rfam family: Bacterial small subunit ribosomal RNA
Source: RNAcentral